GAUGAACGCUGACAGCAUGCUUAACACAUGCAAGUCGAUGGGACAGAGGUGCUUCUUCCAUGGCAAACAUUGCGGACGGGUGAGUAACUCGUAAGGGACUUACCUGCAUGACUGGGAUAACAGGCUUAGACUCCUGAGAGGUCCGGACAAAUAAUUUGUUCUACAGGGCUGUUCGAUGAAAGGAGACGACUGUGGAGAGACUUGCGUCUUGUUACGUGGUUGGUGAGGUAAUGGCUCAACAAGGGGAAUAUAGGUAGCCGGCCUGAGAGGGUAGACGGCCACGAGGGGACUGAGAUACGGCACUUACUACUACGGGAGGCAGCAGUGGGGAAUAUUGGACAAUGGGGGCAACCCUGAUCCAGCAAUUCUGUGUGCACGAAGAAGGUUUUCGGAUUGUAAAGUGCUUUCAGCAGGGAAGAAGUAAGUGACGGUACCUGCAGAAGAAGCGACGGCUAACUACGUG
Molecule: ribosomal RNA, 463 nt
Filed under: uncultured bacterium
Lineage: Bacteria
Description: partial 16S ribosomal RNA
Rfam family: Bacterial small subunit ribosomal RNA
Source: RNAcentral